UGGUGGCGACCGGCGCACGGGUGAGUAACGCGUAUGCAACCCAUCUAUCAGAGGGGAAUAACCCGGCGAAAGUCGGACUAACACCGCAUAAAACAGGGACACCGCAUGGUGAUAUUUGUUAAAGAAGUUCGCUGAUAGAUGGGCAUGCGUUCCAUUAGGUAGUUGGUGAGGUAACGGCUCACCAAGCCGACGAUGGAUAGGGGAACUGAGAGGUUGGUCCCCCACACUGGUACUGAGACACGGACCAGACUCCUACGGGAGGCAGCAGUGAGGAAUAUUGGUCAAUGGGCGAGAGCCUGAACCAGCCAAGUCGCGUGAAGGAAGAAGGAUCUAUGGUUCGUAAACUUCUUUUGCAGGGGAAUAAAGUGCAGGACGUGUCCUGUUUUGUAUGUACCCUGAGAAUAAGGAUCGGCUAACUCCGUGCCAGCAGCCGCGGUAAUACGGAGGAUCCGAGCGUUAUCCGGAUUUAUUGGGUUUAAAGGGUGCGUAGGUGGUUUGAUAAGUCAGCGGUGAAAGUUUGCAGCUUAACUGUAAAAAUGCCGUUGAAACUGUCGGACUUGAGUGUAAAUGAGGUAGGCGGAAUGCGUGGUGUAGCGGUGAAAUGCUUAGAUAUCACGAAGAACUCCGAUUG
RNAcentral lists this ribosomal RNA (631 nucleotides) under uncultured Bacteroidales bacterium. RNAcentral describes it as "bacterial SSU rRNA". It matches the Rfam family "Bacterial small subunit ribosomal RNA", at positions 86 to 715 of the family's 1533-position model. The record is from RNAcentral. Lineage: Bacteria; Pseudomonadati; Bacteroidota; Bacteroidia; Bacteroidales.